AUUGAACGCUGGCGGCAUGCCUUACACAUGCAAGUCGAACGGUAACAGGUCUUCGGAUGCUGACGAGUGGCGAACGGGUGAGUAAUACAUCGGAACGUGCCCGAUCGUGGGGGAUAACGAAGCGAAAGCUUUGCUAAUACCGCAUACGAUCUACGGAUGAAAGCAGGGGACCGCAAGGCCUUGCGCGAACGGAGCGGCCGAUGGCAGAUUAGGGAGUUGGUGGGAUAAAAGCUUACCAAGCCGACGAUCUGUAGCUGGUCUGAGAGGACGACCAGCCACACUGGGACUGAGACACGGCCCAGACUCCUACGGGAGGCAGCAGUGGGGAAUUUUGGACAAUGGGCGAAAGCCUGAUCCAGCCAUGCCGCGUGCAGGAUGAAGGCCUUCGGGUUGUAAACUGCUUUUGUACGGAACGAAAAGACUCUGGCUAAUACCUGGGGUCCAUGACGGUACCGUAAGAAUAAGCACCGGCUAACUACGUG
This 482-nucleotide ribosomal RNA is filed under the name uncultured bacterium. RNAcentral's name for it is "partial 16S ribosomal RNA". It matches the Rfam family "Bacterial small subunit ribosomal RNA", at positions 30 to 507 of the family's 1533-position model. The record is from RNAcentral.